Long non-coding RNA from Mytilus californianus (California mussel), 2203 nucleotides. RefSeq lists it as uncharacterized. NCBI's taxonomy places the organism in Eukaryota, Metazoa, Mollusca, Bivalvia, Mytilida, Mytilidae. The transcript has 3 exons. The record is from RefSeq and is a predicted model, not a curated record.
UUACAUGAUUUAGUUGUACUGAAAGAUGUGUAAAUAUAGUUUUAGAUAUUCUAAUAUUGUAGAUAUACAUAGAGUUUGAACAUCAACCUAUGGUUCAUCAAGAUAGAAGAUGAUUCCUUCAUUCCUCCUGUUCAUUAUUUGUGUUACAAAAUCCGAAACACUGCUCCUCCUGAGCAGCAAAAAUAGUAGUAUUAAUAAACAAGGAAGAAAUCCGGGAUAUACCACAGAUCUGCAUCUCAACAAUAAUAUGAACAAUCUAAUGCCGACAAUGACUUCGUCCUUAUACGAUGGGAAUAAACCAUUGAUGACGAGUAUGGUUUCAAAUGCAGUACAUUCUACAGAAAAUAUACCAGCAAAUACUUACCAAACCUUAACAUCUCGAUUGAUUGAAAACAAAACUAGGCCGUACAUAGAUGUGAUUCCACAGUCUACAUGGACCCUUCAGAUAGAAUCAACCAGUCAGAUAACAAUGACAGAGACGUGGUAUACAAGUCCAAUAAUUGAAAUCAACGAAACAGAUAUUAGUGAAAGUACAAAUACAUUUCCAGCAGUACACAUUAAAGCUAGAAGUACCUCUGAAAUACAGCAUUCGGUGGUCAUCACAACAGAAAAGACACGUAUUGUUGAGAAAUCAGCACAACCAAUUAUAAACUGUGAUUUAUUGAGAAACCUGGGUUUCAACCACCCUGCCUGUAAUCCUGGACAAUGGACAUAAACUAUAGAUGAUCAAGACUAAUACCAGUACUAUACAGUCUACUGAACUUUAUUUAUAUGAACAUAUUUACCUUAAAACAAUAUUCAUUUUUAUUAACUCGUUCGUUGAGUUUUGGACCCAUUAGUCAUUAUGAAUGGCAGACUUCGGUCCAUGAACUAUGUUUAACCUCCCCCUUUAUGAUUUUUACUGAAGGUGAACAGCAGCCAAGAGGCUUCGAUAAUGUGUGUAUAUUGUUAAUUUGCAUCUGUGAUUCUUAUAAAAUUAAAGGAGGUGUGGUAUGAUUACCAAUAAGAUACAAUAAAGACAGAAGAAGAACAACACAAAUAAAAUAAAUACGACGUAUUAAUGAAUAUUUUCUCAAUAUUUCAUUUAAAAUGUAUUAUAAGUUCCAAAACAUAUCGAUAAUCAAACAAUUUAGAUGUCAAUUAUUUGAUUUAAAGCAUCUCUGCAGGAUAUUAGGGGAGACAUACCAAGGAUCAGGACACUACAUUGGUAUCUCUGAAAUUCACUUAAAAAAAUCGGCUCUUGUUCAUGUUUAGAGCUUUGAAUAUCGUUGCUUUUCUCUAAAUGGUCUUAAAACCUCAAUCAUUUGUUUCUCUCACUUGUUUUGUUCCUCAGUUUUAUUUUAAAGCUAUUCAAUCUGUCGAAUGGACUAAAACUCGUGUUAUCUAUUAAACCAAAUCAGGAUGAACUAACGCAAAUGACACGAAAUAUAAAUGUUUUUGUCAUUUAUUUCAAUGGAAAUAUAGGCACUGGUAAGUUACAGCCUUUAGUGUCAAACGAUUUCACGUAUGUAUCAAAAUCAUACCUCUGGUAUCAUAGGUGUUGGGGAUAUUUUACCUGAUAGGCCUGUACCAUACUUGACUUGUCAAUAUGUUGCAAAUACCGUUUUUUUAUGAAUAUUUGGCAUCAUUUACAAGAAAGCAACACCAUUGAAAAAAAUCACUUCCAAAUCACGAAUUAGAAGAACAGGAAAACACAUAUUCGUAAAACGCAUGAACGUCAAAAAAUUUGAAUACUGAAAUUAUAACAAAAAAGUAAAUAAAAAACCAUGAGGAAAUAUGAUCUUACCUUUAAAAAUCAAGGUUGGGAGAACGAAACAAAUAACUAGUAAAAAUUUGUCACAUUCGCCUACUACUGAAAUCAGAACAAAACAUAUCAGUGUUUUCACGAGGUUAUAUGAGGUGUACAACGAAAUGUCGGGUUAUGGGCUAGGUUUAAAAUAAACAACACAAUUAAUUACAGGUGGGUGUUAAACGCAGGCAUUACGAAUUUGUCAAGUAAAUAUAAACAAACUAUUAUAAAUGAAAAACAAAAUACAUGUACACCAUUUCUUUCAAUAUUUAAAAAGUGUAUCUUCUUCAUUUGAAGGUCAGCUAAUUAAUGAUAUUGAGAUUUGCUGUCACCUAUUUUAUUGUUUUUGUUUGUAAUAACACUAUACUUGUGAAGACCAAUUUCCAUUGCUUAACUAUUUUUCCUUUUAUAUUU